RNAcentral lists this ribosomal RNA (503 nucleotides) under Anopheles funestus (African malaria mosquito). RNAcentral describes it as "eukaryotic large subunit ribosomal RNA". The stretch from base 46 to 119 matches the Rfam family "Eukaryotic large subunit ribosomal RNA", at positions 1002 to 1075 of the family's 3401-position model. Lineage: Eukaryota; Metazoa; Arthropoda; Insecta; Diptera; Culicidae. The record is from RNAcentral.
UUUCCCUCAGGAUAGCUGGAGCACGUGCAUUUCGAGCCUUAUUCUUAUCUGGUAAAGCGAAUGAUUAGAGGCCUUAGGUUCGAAAUGAUCUUAACCUAUUCUCAAACUAUAAAUGGGUACGGUAUUGGGUUGCAUACUUUGAUGAANNNNNNNNNNNNNNNNNNNNNNNNNUGUGUGGUAGCCGGUACCCGGGUAUUGGCACAUGGUACCGACACCGGCUAAAGGAAAUUUUCCAGAUAUACUGCUGGGCAAGUGUUGAUAAUAAACAUGAAAUGAUAAUAGAAACGAAAACCGAAAUGAAAGCCCUGAGUUACAGGUCGGUUUGGGAGAACCGGUACGGACGCUGAGCAGUUGUUGGAGGAUUUCUCUUUUUCUCUCUGAUGCCGUGAGGGGUUGUAAAUGUUAUUCAUUUUCGAUGAAAAAUUUAUGAACUCACACAGCACGCAGCGCUGUACUCCCGGGUUAGGGAAAAGAUGGCAUCCAAAAUUUUAAAGCAUGUUUCC